GAUGAACGCUGGCGGCGUGCCUAAUACAUGCAAGUCGAGCGAACGGACGAGAAGCUUGCUUCUCUGAUGUUAGCGGCGGACGGGUGAGUAACACGUGGAUAACCUACCUAUAAGACUGGGAUAACUUCGGGAAACCGUAGCUAAUACCGGAUAAUAUUUUGAACCGCAUGGUUCAAAAGUGAAAGACGGUCUUGCUGUCACUUAUAGAUGGAUCCGCGCUGCAUUAGCUAGUUGGUAAGGUAACGGCUUACCAAGGCAACGAUGCAUAGCCGACCUGAGAGGGUGAUCGGCAACACUGGAACUGCGACACGGUCCAGACUCCUACGGGAGGCAGCAGUAGGGAAUCCUCCGCAAUGGGCGAAAGCCUGACGGAGCAACGCCGCGUGAGUGAUGAAGGUCUUCGGAUCGUAAAACUCUGUUAUUAGGGAAGAACAUAUGUGUAAGUAACUGUGCACAUCUUGACGGUACCUAAUCAGAAAGCCACGGCUAACUACGUG
RNAcentral lists this ribosomal RNA (497 nucleotides) under uncultured bacterium. RNAcentral describes it as "partial 16S ribosomal RNA". It matches the Rfam family "Bacterial small subunit ribosomal RNA", at positions 28 to 507 of the family's 1533-position model. The record is from RNAcentral.